RNAcentral lists this long non-coding RNA (1037 nucleotides) under Crocodylus porosus (Australian saltwater crocodile). RNAcentral describes it as "lncRNA (ENSCPRG00005008060.1)". The record is from RNAcentral. Lineage: Eukaryota; Metazoa; Chordata; Crocodylia; Crocodylidae.
AUCCCUUCCGUCCUGCAGUCCUGAUGGCUCGUAGCCUCCAUACGGAUCAGCGCUUGGCCAGGCUGCUCGCCGUUCUCUUGGGCUUCCUCGGCAGCAGUUUUUCGAGUGGCCAGUGUGCAACUGGGGGGGUAACGAGGUGGAGGAAGGAAAUAGAGGAGCAGAAUUGUUUAAGGCCGAUGUCAGGAUUUGGUGAUAGGAUGCGAACAAGACUGCCAGGCUGCAAGAUGAACCCAGCACACCGCAGGCCGCCGUUCCCAUCGCCAGCCAGGCUGCCACGAGCUCGAGCCAACUGGGGCCUGCUUGCCUCCUGAAGUCAGCCGCAGCAUCGCUCACAUCUGCUGAGAAUCCCAGACAGAGCCCGCUUGCCGCGGCUCAUGAAAAAUUCAGAGCCCGUUGACUGUGGCCGAGGACGGCGCCUUCUCCCCAUCCGUCUCUUUCUCUCUCACUCGCUCUCCGCGUUUGCGAGCGUGUCUGAGACGUCUGCAGACAUGGCCGCACGCGCCCGCCUAGACAGAGCAAAUCACGCUCGCUCCUUCCAAGGCCUCCGCGGGGACCAGGAGCGCAGCUGCGGCGCAGCUCGGCGGUGACUGGCACGCCGGGAGUGCCCCGGGGGGGCCUGAUACAUUUUUCCGCACCUUCCUCAUGGCCAGGGACUGCCCAGGGGCCCUGCAGCUAGCUCCCAGAGCCAGGGAGGCUGGCCUGCCAUUGCUGUGGUCUCUGCUAGAUGGAACGGCAUCCGCCCUACAGAGACACAGGCAGGCAGGGCUGCACCUGGCUGCCUGCAAACAUUGGCUGGCUGCCCGGAGACCCCCAGGUCUAAGGUAGCAAGGGAAUACAUUGGUUUGAGGAUGGAGCUGUUCAUGCCCUUGCAAGGGACUCUGUGAUGAGGAGCAGCAAGGGACCUGGGGAGCAGCCCCAGGGCCUUGGAGCAGGUGCACCCCUACCCUGGGCAGAUGGCUGCAGCAGGGGCAUAGCUGGGAGGAGAGGUAGGUGGAAGGUGGAUCAGGGCUGGGUUUGGGGUUCCCGGGGAUUUAUUC